This 800-nucleotide ribosomal RNA is filed under the name uncultured bacterium. RNAcentral's name for it is "bacterial SSU rRNA". It matches the Rfam family "Bacterial small subunit ribosomal RNA", at positions 8 to 806 of the family's 1533-position model. The record is from RNAcentral.
AGAGUUUGAUCCUGGCUCAGAUUGAACGCUGGCGGCAGGCCUAACACAUGCAAGUCGAGCGGGAACUUCGGUUCUAGCGGCGGACGGGUGAGUAAUGCGUAGGAAGCUACCCGAUAGAGGGGGAUACCAGUUGGAAACGACUGUUAAUACCGCAUAAUGUCUACGGACCAAAGUGUGGGACCUUCGGGCCACAUGCUAUCGGAUGCGCCUACGUGGGAUUAGCUAGUUGGUGAGGUAAUGGCUCACCAAGGCGACGAUCCCUAGCUGGUUUGAGAGGAUGAUCAGCCACACUGGAACUGAGACACGGUCCAGACUCCUACGGGAGGCAGCAGUGGGGAAUAUUGGACAAUGGGCGCAAGCCUGAUCCAGCCAUGCCGCGUGUGUGAAGAAGGCCUUCGGGUUGUAAAGCACUUUCAGCGAGGAGGAAGGAGUUGUAGUUAAUAGCUGCAACUUUUGACGUUACUCGCAGAAGAAGCACCGGCUAACUCUGUGCCAGCAGCCGCGGUAAUACAGAGGGUGCAAGCGUUAAUCGGAAUUACUGGGCGUAAAGCGCACGCAGGCGGUUGGUUAAGUCAGAUGUGAAAGCCCCGGGCUCAACCUGGGAAUUGCAUUUGAAACUGGCCAACUAGAGUAUGUGAGAGGGGGGUAGAAUUCCAAGUGUAGCGGUGAAAUGCGUAGAGAUUUGGAGGAAUACCCAGUGGCGAAGGCGGCCCCCUGCCACAAUACUGACGCUCAGGUGCGAAAGCGUUGGGGGAGCUAAACAGGGAUUAGAUUACCCCUUGGUAGUCCAACGCCGUUAA